This 245-nucleotide ribosomal RNA is filed under the name uncultured Lewinella sp. Its description in RNAcentral is "partial 16S ribosomal RNA". It matches the Rfam family "Bacterial small subunit ribosomal RNA", at positions 524 to 768 of the family's 1533-position model. The record is from RNAcentral. Lineage: Bacteria; Pseudomonadati; Bacteroidota; Saprospiria; Saprospirales; Lewinellaceae.
UACAGAGGCCCCAAGCGUUACUGAGAAUCACUGGGUUUAAAGGGUGCGUAGGUGGUCCGUUAAGUUCGUUGUGAAAUCCCUGGGCUCAACCCAGGAAAUGCUUCGAAUACUGGCGGACUUGAGGCUAGUAGAGGUCACUGGAACUGACGGUGGAGCGGUGAAAUGCGUAGAUAUCGUCAGGAACGCCGGUGGUGAAGACGGGUGACUGGGCUAGUUCUGACACUGAGGCACGAAAGCGUGGGGAG